This 492-nucleotide ribosomal RNA is filed under the name uncultured bacterium. Its description in RNAcentral is "bacterial SSU rRNA". It matches the Rfam family "Bacterial small subunit ribosomal RNA", at positions 20 to 507 of the family's 1533-position model. The record is from RNAcentral.
UGGCUCAGAGUGAACGCUGGCGGCAGGCCUAACACAUGCAAGUCGAGCGGCAGCGCGGGGGCAACCCUGGCGGCGAGCGGCGGACGGGUGAGGAAUACAUCGGAAUCUGCCUUGUUGUGGGGGAUAACGUAGGGAAACUUACGCUAAUACCGCAUGAGACCGUAAGGUGAAAGUGGGGGAUCGCAAGACCUCACGCGACAAGAUGAGCCGAUGUCGGAUUAGCUAGUUGGUGAGGUAAAGGCUCACCAAGGCAACGAUCCGUAGCUGGUCUGAGAGGAUGAUCAGCCACACUGGGACUGAGACACGGCCCAGACUCCUACGGGAGGCAGCAGUGGGGAAUAUUGGACAAUGGGCGCAAGCCUGAUCCAGCCAUGCCGCGUGUGUGAAGAAGGCCUUCGGGUUGUAAAGCACUUUUGUUGGGAAAGAAAUCCUGUCGAUUAAUACUCGGCGGGGAUGACGGUACCCAAAGAAUAAGCACCGGCUAACUUCGUG